CAAUAGCGUAUAUUAAAGUUGUUGCGGUUAAAAAGCUCGUAGUUGGAUUUCUGCUGAGAACGACCGGUCCGCCCUUUGGGUGUGUAUCUGGCUCUUUCUUGGCAUCUUCUUGGUGAACGUUGCUGCACUUGACUGUGUGGAGCGCUACCCAGGACUUUUACUUUGAGGAAAUUAGAGUGUUUCAAGCAGGCAUACGCCUUGAAUACAUUAGCAUGGAAUAAUAAGAUAGGACCUCGGUUCUAUUUUGUUGGUUUCUAGAGCUGAGGUAAUGAUUAAUAGGGAUAGUUGGGGGCAUUCGUAUUUAACUGUCAGAGGUGAAAUUCUUGGAUCUGCUAAAGACGGACAAGUGCGAAAGCGUUCGCCCAGGAUGUUUUCAUUGA
This 380-nucleotide ribosomal RNA is filed under the name uncultured eukaryote. RNAcentral's name for it is "partial 18S ribosomal RNA". It matches the Rfam family "Eukaryotic small subunit ribosomal RNA", at positions 592 to 976 of the family's 1831-position model. The record is from RNAcentral.